CUUGUAAACUUAGUGGCGGACGGGUGAGUAACACGUGAGCAACCUGCCUAUCAGAGGGGAACAACAGUUAGAAAUGACUGCUAAUACCGCAUAACAUAUAGAUGUCGCAUGGCAUUUAUAUCAAAGAUUUAUCGCUGAAAGAUGGCCUCGCGUCUGAUUAGCUAGUUGGUGAGGUAACGGCCCACCAAGACGAUGAUCAGUAGCCGGACUGAGAGGUUGAACGGCCACAUUGGGACUGAGAUACGGCCCAGACUCC
Molecule: ribosomal RNA, 256 nt
Filed under: uncultured Oscillospiraceae bacterium
Lineage: Bacteria; Bacillati; Bacillota; Clostridia; Eubacteriales; Oscillospiraceae
Description: partial 16S ribosomal RNA
Rfam family: Bacterial small subunit ribosomal RNA
Source: RNAcentral